This 75-nucleotide transfer RNA is filed under the name Pseudomyrmex feralis. Its description in RNAcentral is "tRNA-Thr". The record is from RNAcentral. Lineage: Eukaryota; Metazoa; Arthropoda; Insecta; Hymenoptera; Formicidae.
GCUAUUAUAGUUUAAAAAAUAAAAACAGUAAUUUUGUAAAUUGAAGAUAAUUAUUUAAAUAUAUAUUUAAUAGUA